UGGAAGUAAAAGUCGUAACAAGGUCUCCGUUGGUGAACCAGCGGAGGGAUCAUUAAAGAGUUCUAUGACUCCUAACCCCUGUGAACAUACCAUACGUUGCCUCGGCAGGUGCCGGGUCUCGCCGAGAGGCGGGCCCGGCGCAGCCUGCCGGCGGCCCAUCAAACUCUGUCUAAUAACUGAAUCUCUGAGGCUAUUUCUAAAUGAAUUAAAACUUUCAACAACGGAUCUCUUGGCUCUGGCAUCGAUGAAGAACGCAGCGAAACGCGAUAGUUAAUGUGAAUUGCAGAAUUUAGUGAAUCAUCGAAUCUUUGAACGCACAUUGCGCCCGUUAGUAUUCUAGCGGGCAUGCCUGUUCGAGCGUCAUUUCAACCCUCAAGCCCUAGUUGCUUGGUGUUGGGAGGCUACAGUUGUACCUCCUGAAAUGUAGUGGCGGAGCCGGUCCUCGCUCUAGACGUAGUAGGUUCUAUCUCGUCUAUCAGCUGGGCCGGUCCCCUGCCGUAAAACCCCCCAAUUCUAUCAAGGUUGACCUCGGAUCAGGUAGGAAUACCCGCUGAACUUAAGCAUAUCAAUAAGCGGAGGA
Molecule: ribosomal RNA, 580 nt
Filed under: Xylaria sp. ATT025
Lineage: Eukaryota; Fungi; Ascomycota; Sordariomycetes; Xylariales; Xylariaceae
Description: eukaryotic LSU rRNA
Rfam family: 5.8S ribosomal RNA (bases 210-363)
Source: RNAcentral